Long non-coding RNA from Macaca mulatta (Rhesus monkey), 3521 nucleotides. The record is from Ensembl. NCBI's taxonomy places the organism in Eukaryota, Metazoa, Chordata, Mammalia, Primates, Cercopithecidae.
AGCAGACAGCGCGGGCGGGGAGCGCGGGCCAGGGCGGCCCUCGCGCGCCUGGCUGCCAGCCCGCAGGGGGCUCGCACGCAGACCUGCCCUUGCCACCUCAGCCCUAGGGUGCGGGCUGGGGCGGUGGAGCCAGGGAAGGUGGUGCGGAGAGCCGAGCGCAGGACUGCGCAGGAGCCCCGGCGCAACGCUGUGCGCACAGACCCAGGAUUUGUGAAGAGGUGACCCAAAUUUCCAGACAAAGUUGGAUGCAAACCGAUUUGCCAGCAAUUGCGUCACUGUCAAAACCAGCUCUGCCCGUGUCUUCCGAAGAUACCAAGUGAAAUACGUAUAGAUGUGAUUUACAUCUGAGAAACCAAGGGGCCAAUGUGGGUUGUGGAGUGAAGCAGGAAGCUCUGCAGAGUUCCUUGGUCAAAAGGAUGAAUUACAAAAGAACCCCACGAACACCAAGAAGAAGAGAAGGGAAUCCUGGGUAUUUAAAGCCACAAAGAAACUUGAUAUGGUCUUGUCUCCUUCUCUCAACUGACAGUGAGAAACUGAAGACCAGAGAGGGAAGAUACAUCCAAAAAGGAAGUGAUUGCGCCACUGCACCCCAGCCUGGGUGAGAAAUUCACUGGCAGUGUCAGUCGCUGUCUCCCUGCACUUCAUCCGUCUGAUAUCCCAGUACCUAGUGCUGUACUAGGCACACACUGUACUUCAAAAGGAAGCAUUAGUCUGCAUUAAUUAUCACCAGUGCAUUCGUCUGUGUAUUGUCUGUUCAUUCAACAAAUAUUUAGUAAGAACCAGGCAUUGAACUCGUGGUUAACGAGGAGCUUCCAUUCUGGUUGGAAGAGGCAGAAGGUAAGCAACAUGAAUGGGCAAGUCCACGGAAAGAUGGUUUCAAAUAGAGCUAAGUGCAAUGAAGACGGUAAACCAGGUAAGGAGAUAGAGAAUGAUGGCAGGAGGGACACACCUGACCUGGUGCCAUUUGAGCCAAGGCUUGCAUCGUAAAGAGUCAGACAGGAAACAAUCCAGAAGAAGAGUGUUCUAGACAGAAAGCAUAGCGCAUGCAAAGGCCCUGAGGUCACAGCAAUGUGAUGUCUUCCAGGAUCUGGGAGGAAGCCAGUAUAGCUGGGACUGGGGGAGUAGAAAUCUGAGAAAGCAGAGAGGAUGGAAAGCGAGGGUGGAAAGAGUAGGCAGGGGCUGUGGUGAUCUUGCCAGCCUAGUGAGCCUGGAAAAGCAUGCAUUCUAUUCUAAAUGGGAUGGUUAAGCAUUGAAGGUUUUUAAUGAGAAUGACAUGCUCUGUUGGUGGUUUAGACCAUGUCUGCAAACUCUCUGAUGCUUCUUCUCUGGAAGAUGAGGUCUAGGACUCCUCCCCUGGAGUUGGGCAGGCCUAUGAGAUCGUUUGGAUGGCUUGACUCUGUGACUGUCCAGGUUAGGUGAGUAGAGAAGCUUCUGCCUGGGCCCUGUCUCAGGAUGCACGCUUUAGGAGCUGCGUUGUAAGGAGUCCUUGUAAGGAGUCCAGCUACCCUGGACUCCUUGUAGAGAGGCCACAGAAAGUCAUUCAGAGGCUCAACUGGGCUGAAGGUGCAAGGUUUCUUGCUCAUGUGGCCAUCAGUGGUGCUUGCUGCUAUUGGGAGCUCCACUGGACUGUUGACCAGAGCUCCUCAGCUCACCUCUGUGUAUCCUUGCCAUGUGGCUAAGGCUUCUAACAACACAGAGGCUGGAUUCCAAGAGGAGGGAAGUAGAAGCUUUCAGCCUUCUUAAGACCAGGAUUCAGAUGUCCCAGACUGUCAUUGUAUUGACCGGAGCAUUUACAGGCCAGCCCAGUAAUUUUUCCAUCUCUGGGCAAGAACAGGUAGCAUAUGCCGAGGGUAGGGGUAGCAUUGUUGGGGACCAUCUUUGGAGCAGUGUGCCAAGGAGUAAAUUGCUGGGCUGCUUUCUACCUGGGGAAGUUCACUGUGCUUGCUUGUGGAGAGUGGAUUGUGUGCUCAGAGUCCACCAGGAUUUAAGAAUCAGCUCCCAGCCCUCCUCCCCUUGCCUCAGCCCGUGCAUUAGGGCCCUGUGGUGAGAGCACUGAGCCAUUGUGAAUCAAGGCCUCUCCCUCAACCUGCAUACUGACAGGCGAGAGGAGCUUUCUUGAUUUUGGUCCUAGGCUUCUGCCUGUGGGUUGGAUUCCAGGGGCACUCCGUCCUCCACAAACCAGUGACAGGUGCAGCCCCUCCAUGCAAGCUGUCCACACUUCACCCUAAAGACAGAUCCUGCUGUUCAGCAGCAAUGUGAGUGGCCCACACAUUUGCCCAGCAUGAAACCGUUUUCAAAUUCCUUUCCAAUACACAGUCCCAUCAGCCAGUCACAUCACGAUGACAGCUCCUCGAAACACCUUUUGGUUUGCAGUUGCGUAGCUUAGAAGUAGGAGCCUGCACAACUUCAGGACUUCACAGAAAGAACACACUUUGUGCUUCGAGAAGUUAAUUAUGGGAAUAUCUUGCAACCUGCUGCUCUGAGCCUGUGCACCUGGGGUGUUUCCCCGGAGGUCCUGUGUAUGCGGAUACUCAUCAGCAUGGGGUUUGGGGAAGCCUAGCACUGGAGGCAACCUAGGUGGUGCUCUCCAGGGGAGUGGGUAAGAGCCCUGCAGUGUAUGCAUAUGAGGGGAUCCUAGGCAGCAGUGAAAAGCAUUGAAGGGAAAGCAUGUUGAGCAGUGCUCUGAAUCUGAUCAGAGCAACCUGAACACAUUUUAAACACAGGGCAUCUAGAACUAGGGUAGAGGCACUAGAGCACCAUAGACACAAACUCACAUUCUGAAGGUAAAUGUCCAAGUUCCAAUCCAAGCCCCCUCGCCAACUGACCACGACUCCCCCAAGUUACCUGACCUCUGUGUUUACAUCCUUAAAGUUAAGUAGUCAGGAAAGGGGGCUUGGGGCUUGCUACAUGAAUGGUUGCCACUCUCCUUUGCAAAGUGUAGUCCCCAAAAACAGGUGGAAGAGGGAAGGGUCCAAUCAGAAGGCCGAGUACCAGCUGCCGUGAAUAUGCCAGAGCUGCUGGCUAGUGAUAUAUAACUCAAAUCCGGUGGAACAGCAGAGCUAGGGUGACCUUACAUUCUAGGAAAGAAAAGAUGCUUGUUGUCCUGGCUUUUUAUCCAGCUUAAACAAAGAUGGGCAAAGAAAAUAAUUUAGAAAAUAGUAGAGAUGAGCACAGAGAAAGGGCACAGAUGGAAGCACAAACAGAAGGCCAAGUGAUGGUGGAGGCAGACACUGGAGAAAUGCCUUUGCAAGCCAGGGAAUGCCAAGGAUGCUGGUGACCCCGGGAGCGGGAUGAACCUGGAACACGCUCUCCCUCAGAGUCUCCAGAAGGAACCGGCCCUGCAUCACCUUUGGGACUUCUGGCCCCCAGAACUACACAAGAAAACGUUUCUGCUAUUGGAGGCCAUCCAGCUGGUGGUCAUUUGUUAUGGUCACCACAGAAAAAAAUAUAGAUUUAGGCAUCUAAUUUGCAUAUAUAGAUGUGCAUGUGUAUUUGUUAAAUAAAACACAAGGCAUAAUAAC